Molecule: ribosomal RNA, 1379 nt
Filed under: uncultured organism
Description: bacterial SSU rRNA
Rfam family: Bacterial small subunit ribosomal RNA
Source: RNAcentral
CAGAUUGAACGCUGGCGGCAUGGGCUAAAACAUGCAAGUCGAACGCGAACGUCUUCGGACUAGUAGAGUGGCGUAAGGGCGAGGAAUGCGUUCCUAACGUGCCCCCGGGUCGGGGAUAGCUCACCGAAAGGUGUGGUAAUACCCGAUGACCCCGGUGAUCCGCAUGGACCGCCGGGCAAAGGCUUGCUGCCCGGGGAUCGGGGAACGUGGUAUCAGCUUGUUGGUGAGGUAACGGCUCACCAAGGCUUAGACGCCUAGCGGGUGUGAGAGCAUGACCCGCCGCAUCGGGACUGAGACACUGCCCGGACUCCUACGGGAGGCUGCAGUAACGAAUAUUCCGCAAUGCGCGAAAGCGUGACGGAGCAAUGCCGCGUGUGGGAUGAAGCCCCUUGGGGUGUAAACCACUGUCAGGGUGUAGGAACCCAAUGACCGCAUCCAGAGGAAGGACCGGCUAACUUCGUGCCAGCAGCCGCGGUAAUACGAAGGGUCCAAGCGUUAAUCGGAAUCACUGGGCUUAAAGCGUGCGCAGGCGGACCCGCAAGCAUCUUGUGAAAUCCCACCGCCCAACGGUGGAACCGCUCGGUGAACUGCGGGUCUUGAGGCUGGUAGGGGCCGUCGGAACGAUUGGUGGAGCGGUGAAAUGCGUAGAUAUCAAUCGGAACGCCAAAGACGAAGGUAGGCGGCUGGGCCAGUCCUGACGCUCAGGCACGAAAGCGUGGGUAGCGAACGGGAUUAGAUACCCCGGUAGUCCACGCCGUAAACGAUGCGCACUAGGUCGAGAGGGUUCUGACACCAACUCGGCCGAAGCAAAAGUGUUAAGUGCGCCGCCUGGGGAGUACGGUCGCAAGGCUAAAACUCAAAGGAAUUGACGGGGGCUCACACAAGCGGUGGAGCAUGUGGCUUAAUUCGAAGCAACGCGAAGAACCUUACCAGGGUUUGACAUGCACGGAUUAGCUUUAUGAAAGUAAAGUGACAGGUUUACCUGGAACGUGCACAGGUGCUGCAUGGCUGUCGUCAGCUCGUGCUGUGAAGUGUCGCGUUAAGUCGCUCAACGAGCGAAACCCCUAUCGUUAGUUGCCAACAGGUAAUGCUGGGGACUCUAACGAGACUGCCGGUGUCAAACCGGAGGAAGGUGGGGAUGACGUCAAGUCCUCAUGGCCCUUAUGCCCUGGGUUGCACACGUGCUACAAUGGUAUGGACAGAGCGACGCAAUAUCGCAAGAUGGAGCAAAUCGCAAAAACCAUGCCUCAGUUCGGAUUGUGGUCUGCAACUCGACCACAUGAAGCUGGAAUCGCUAGUACUCGCGUAUCAGCUACGACGCGGUGAUACGUUCCUGAGCCUUGUACACACCGCCCGUCAAGUCAUGGAAGCCGGGAAUG